UACGUAGGGGGCGAGCGUUAUCCGGAAUUAUUGGGCGUAAAGGGUUCGCAGGCGGUCUAUUAAGUCUGAUGUGAAAGCCCACGGCUUAACCGUGGAGGGUCAUUGGAAACUGAUAGACUUGAAUACAGCAGAGGUAAGUGGAAUUCCAUGUGUAGCGGUGAAAUGCGUAGAUAUAUGGAGGAACACCAGUGGCGAAGGCGGCUUACUGGGCUGGUAUUGACGCUGAGGAACGAAAGCGUGGGGAGCAAACAGGAUUAGAUACCCCAGUA
Molecule: ribosomal RNA, 269 nt
Filed under: uncultured prokaryote
Description: partial 16S ribosomal RNA
Rfam family: Bacterial small subunit ribosomal RNA
Source: RNAcentral